This 1343-nucleotide ribosomal RNA is filed under the name uncultured bacterium. Its description in RNAcentral is "16S ribosomal RNA". It matches the Rfam family "Bacterial small subunit ribosomal RNA", at positions 28 to 1378 of the family's 1533-position model. The record is from RNAcentral.
GACGAACGCUGGCGGCGUGCUUAACACAUGCAAGUCGAACGGAAAGGCCCUGCUUUUGUGGGGUGCUCGAGUGGCGAACGGGUGAGUAACACGUGAGUAACCUGCCCUUGACUUUGGGAUAACUUCAGGAAACUGGGGCUAAUACAGGAUAGGAGCUCCUGCUGCAUGGUGGGGGUUGGAAAGUUUCGGCGGUUGGGGAUGGACUCGCGGCUUAUCAGCUUGUUGGUGGGGUAGUGGCUUACCAAGGCUUUGACGGGUAGCCGGCCUGAGAGGGUGACCGGCCACAUUGGGACUGAGAUACGGCCCAGACUCCUACGGGAGGCAGCAGUGGGGAAUAUUGCACAAUGGGCGGAAGCCUGAUGCAGCAACGCCGCGUGCGGGAUGACGGCCUUCGGGUUGUAAACCGCUUUCGCCUGUGACGAAGCGUGAGUGACGGUAAUGGGUAAAGAAGCACCGGCUAACUACGUGCCAGCAGCCGCGGUGAUACGUAGGGUGCGAGCGUUGUCCGGAUUUAUUGGGCGUAAAGGGCUCGUAGGUGGUUGAUCGCGUCGGAAGUGUAAUCUUGGGGCUUAACCCUGAGCGUGCUUUCGAUACGGGUUGACUUGAGGAAGGUAGGGGAGAAUGGAAUUCCUGGUGGAGCGGUGGAAUGCGCAGAUAUCAGGAGGAACACCAGUGGCGAAGGCGGUUCUCUGGGCCUUUCCUGACGCUGAGGAGCGAAAGCGUGGGGAGCGAACAGGCUUAGAUACCCUGGUAGUCCACGCUGUAAACGGUGGGUACUAGGUGUGGGGUCCAUUCCACGGGUUCCGUGCCGUAGCUAACGCUUUAAGUACCCCGCCUGGGGAGUACGGCCGCAAGGCUAAAACUCAAAGGAAUUGACGGGGCCCCGCACAAGCGGCGGAGCAUGCGGAUUAAUUCGAUGCAACGCGUAGAACCUUACCUGGGUUUGACAUGGAUCGGAAGUGCUCAGAGAUGGGUGUGCCUCUUUUGGGGUCGGUUCACAGGUGGUGCAUGGCUGUCGUCAGCUCGUGUCGUGAGAUGUUGGGUUAAGUCCCGCAACGAGCGCAACCCUUGUUCACUGUUGCCAGCACGUUAUGGUGGGGACUCAGUGGAGACCGCCGGGGUCAACUCGGAGGAAGGUGGGGAUGACGUCAAGUCAUCAUGCCCCUUAUGUCCAGGGCUUCACGCAUGCUACAAUGGCUGGUACAGAGAGUGGCGAGCCUGUGAGGGUGAGCGAAUCUCGGAAAGCCGGUCUCAGUUCGGAUUGGGGUCUGCAACUCGACCUCAUGAAGUCGGAGUCGCUAGUAAUCGCAGAUCAGCAACGCUGCGGUGAAUACGUUCCCGGG